Molecule: non-coding RNA, 239 nt
Organism: Pelobates cultripes (western spadefoot toad)
Lineage: Eukaryota; Metazoa; Chordata; Amphibia; Anura; Pelobatidae
Source: the annotation of a GenBank genome assembly
UAUACGGUUCUAUACGGUUACUGAAGGCGAAACAGUUCAGACGUUAUAUUUCCUGUGGUAACUUCUGCUAGCUCGGCUGGUGAACUUUUACCCUGAGCACUAGGACUUUGGUACUUGAGUCGCUAGACCCCCGUCAAUGCAGGAUAUUUUGCAGAGUUGCUUUUGGUAUUACAGGAUAUGCUAUCUACCUAAAACUAGGAAUUCUCCUAUGAUUAAACGCACUAUUACAGACCGUAGAU